GUCUCUUGAUUGGAGGCUGGUAUGAAUGGUUUAAUGAAAAAUAUACUUUCUUUAUUUUAUAUAAAAAAAUUAAUUUUUUAGUUAAAAAGCUAAGAUGUUUUUAUAGGACGAGAAGACCCUAUAGAACUUUACUGUUAUAUUAUAUAUAUUUUAUAUAUUUUUAUAAAUAUAUAUUUUUAUAUCAGUUUUGUUGGGGUGAUGGAAAAAAAAUAAUAACUUUUUCUAAUUGUUACAUAUAUAUAUGUUUUUUUGAUCCUUUUUUUAGGAAAAUAAGAUUAAGUUACCUUAGGGAUAACAGCGUUAUUUUUUCGGAGAGUUCAUAUUAAUGAAAGAGUUUGCGACCUCGAUGUUGGAUUAAAAUAAGUUUCAGGGGUAUAAUAUUGUUAACUAAGUCUGUUCGACUUUUAAAUUUUUACA
This 417-nucleotide ribosomal RNA is filed under the name Loristes decoratus. RNAcentral's name for it is "partial 16S ribosomal RNA". The stretch from base 291 to 417 matches the Rfam family "Bacterial large subunit ribosomal RNA", at positions 2473 to 2600 of the family's 2925-position model. The record is from RNAcentral. Lineage: Eukaryota; Metazoa; Arthropoda; Insecta; Hemiptera; Miridae.